RNAcentral lists this ribosomal RNA (300 nucleotides) under uncultured Helicobacter sp. RNAcentral's name for it is "bacterial SSU rRNA". It matches the Rfam family "Bacterial small subunit ribosomal RNA", at positions 496 to 795 of the family's 1533-position model. Lineage: Bacteria; Pseudomonadati; Campylobacterota; Epsilonproteobacteria; Campylobacterales; Helicobacteraceae. The record is from RNAcentral.
GGUAAUUGUGGUGCAGCAGCCGCGGGAAGUGUGGGGUGGUGAGCGUUAAUCGGAUUGACUUGGCGUAAGGCGUGCGUAGGCUGCUUUUUAAGUCGGAUGUGAAAUCCCCGAGCUUAACUUGGGAAUUGCAUUCGAUACUGGGAAGCUAGAGUAUGGGAGAGGAUGGUAGAAUUCCAGGUGUAGCGGUGAAAUGCGUAGAGAUCUGGAGGAAUACCGAUGGCGAAGGCAGCCAUCUGGCCUAAUACUGACGCUGAGGUACGAAAGCAUGGGGAGCAAACAGGAUUAGAUACCCUUGUAGUC